GACGAACCGUGCGAACGUUGUUCGGAUUCACUGGGCUUAAAGGGCGCGUAGGCGGACCCAAAAGUCCGGGGUGAAAUCGUUCGGCUUAACCGGACAAUUGCCCUGGAUACUGUGGGUCUCGAGGGAGGUAGGGGCAUGCGGAACUUCCGGUGGAGCGGUGAAAUGCGUUGAUAUCGGAAGGAACUCCGGUGGCGAAAGCGGCGUGCUGGAUCUCUACUGACGCUGAGGCGCGAAAGCCAGGGGAGCAAACGGG
This 253-nucleotide ribosomal RNA is filed under the name uncultured bacterium. Its description in RNAcentral is "partial 16S ribosomal RNA". It matches the Rfam family "Bacterial small subunit ribosomal RNA", at positions 524 to 776 of the family's 1533-position model. The record is from RNAcentral.